UGACUAAGGGCCAAGAAGUUGGAUGUCGGGUGUGUAUGGCCAUAUGUUUGUGUAUAAUCCUGGACUAGAGGGCAAAGACACUCACUUCACAUCAUCGCCUUGGGUGUUGAGGCCCCCUGAUCAGUGUCCCCCAACACACCUACUCCUUCCUGGGCACUUAGAACCAGGUGGCUGGUCUCCCUAGUAACAGUUGCUAUGACUACCAGGUUUCCUACUAGGGAGCCUGAGAUGGAGGGGGCUGAAGAGGGGACCAAAUCCCCUGCCCCAACAAACUUCUCAUUGUCUCACUCCCUUGAGCAGGGCGGACCCAGGAGACCUGAUCAGCAUUUGCCCCCAGCCCCCUGUGGGGCCUCGGGGCCCCCUGAAACCUUCAGGACGGAGUCAGACGGGGCGGGCACCAUGAACAAGUUACGGCAGAGUCUGCGGCGGAG
Molecule: long non-coding RNA, 431 nt
Filed under: Rattus norvegicus (Norway rat)
Lineage: Eukaryota; Metazoa; Chordata; Mammalia; Rodentia; Muridae
Description: long non-coding RNA NONRATT000509
Source: RNAcentral